This is a long non-coding RNA of Lolium perenne, 4069 nucleotides long. RefSeq lists it as uncharacterized. The record is from RefSeq and is a predicted model, not a curated record. Lineage: Eukaryota; Viridiplantae; Streptophyta; Magnoliopsida; Poales; Poaceae.
UUUCGUCGUCCGUCCUUCCGUUCGUUCAUCGCACCUUCUUUGUCUCACACCGGAAAACCUGCUCGGUAAAUAAAUGCCCCAACAAAUCCGCCACCAAAUCCUAUCGAUUCCAUCUCGCCAUGCCUCCCUGCCGCGACGUCGCCCUAUCUCCAUGCAUCAUCGCGCGCGCCUCCACACCAUCGCGUAGUCGUACUAGCCUCACUCCACGCGACCCCGACACCGAGAUUCUCGCCGUUCCGGUGAGUCGAGAUGAUCUUGCAGAGAAAGUACCAAGAUGGGAGAAGGGAUCGUCAAGCGGAUCUGAGCACCAUCCCGUGCUGUGGGUUGCCUUCGUGAGGUUGGCACCCCUCCUUCCUGAUGCUCCCCUUCUUCUCCCCCAGCGGCAGUCAUGGUGGCUCGGUGGCAGCCCCGCAGCAUCGAUGGGAGAAAUCCCAUGGGAAUUAUCGAUGGUGAAAGCCUCGUUGCCCAGGCUUCCUGCUUCGAUCUGCCCCACUGUCCUUUCAUGGGCCUCAAUCUGCCCCACAAUAUCAUCAACAAGCCAACGCCAUUAAAGUACAUCACGGCCUCUUUCUGGAGCAAUCAAUCGACCACUCUUCUUCCUGGGAUAAAGUAGCGGCCAAUGGAUCCAUCUGUGAGCGGCCGCAGCCGUCGUUACUUCCGGCAAGGAAAUAUCUUGGUCAUUUUACACUUGCAUUGUACGACAUGGAGGUCAAGAGGAUGUAUCCACCUCUCCUAGGUCCAGGACAUGCCUAUACACGUAGCAGCAGUGACAGUCUAUCAGGUUCUUUCUUCUCUUCAAGACGUUCAGUUUAUUUACAUAACUAUGUUUUGUGGCCCUUCUACAAGGAGAUUACAUUUGAGUCUUUUUUUCUUCCAUUGAGCUCUGGUGCUUGGGUAAUAUACGGGUUUAUUGCUUGUGGGGUUAACAUGCUAUAUAAAUUCAGAGCUUUAAACUAAUCUUGUGGUGAGUUCUUAUUGUAGGAUGCUAUUGCGUGGUCUUUUCUGCCCAGGUAACUAGAAUGUUUUCUAUUUUAAUUUAUCUUGAUUACUUGUUGAUGAAGUGAAGUGAUCUAAUCAGACAAUUCAAUUGACCAACGGGACGAUUCCCUCAAGUGAGGAUUUGAGAUGAUAAUUGAGAUGUAGAUGACAAAGGUUUUCACUAGGUAACGGUAUUUUUGUUUAUAAGAGGUAAUGAUAUCAUGCAUUCAUGGACGAAGGUCUGGAUUAAUUAUGCUUAGGAGGCGGCGGUAUAGUGUUGUCUCUUAAUUAAUAUAGGCGGAUGAUGAAUUUGAUCUGCUCCGGUCAGAGUCCGACUGGAUACAUACUAUAAUAUAGCAAUGUGCAAAUACAUGAUUGAUGAUUGUCACUUUAAGUUCUUUCGCGAAGUCCAAUUGAUGAUGAUUAUUACUGCAAGGAUACAACCACAGAGGGAGUAUUAUCGCAGGUCACAGGUCGCGCUCCGGUCAGAGUCCGACUGGAUACAUACUGUAAUAUAGCUCCGAGGACGGCUGGAUCAGUGAGCUAAACUAAUCAUUAAUCAUUUUUUGCAUCUUCUUCUUAUUUUGUUUCCUUCUCUGUCCCGCUUUUCUUCUCCUUGCACCCUAAAUUAGUAUAUUAGGUUCAUAAUAAAUCAAAUAUUUCUCUGACUUGCAUUGUUCAACUUUCUAUUGCCGUUCCAAUGUUUGUCUUUUCUUCUCUAUAGUAAGAAGUUGUACCUGUCUGCAGGUCAAAGAAAAAAUAUGCAGAUUUUGCCUCUAGGAUGUAUCGUGCCGAUGCAAUUACUGGGAAGUUCUUGUGGGAAUUGCACACAUCUAGGGAUAUAGGGAUCAAGAUGUGGUAAAACUCACGUGAGUUGGACUUAUUGUUCUUGAGCGUGAGAUGAUUACAUGUGUACCCCGGAUCUGGUUGAGAUAAUGUCCAUCACUCUCCUCUGUAGGCGUGUAGCGCUAGGUUGCGGGCCUGCCGUAAGCCUCCUCCCUCGAGUGCCAGAACCAACAACAAGCGGCGGAGAAGAACAUGCAUGGGCGUGCUGUCGGGGUCAUGUAAUUAGUUUCUAGGAUGUGAGAUCCCGAGGGUCUAAGACAUAUCACUAUAAUAAUAGUGAAUGCAAUACUUUUUAAGCACGUGGUCUAAGACAUAUAUGUAUAAAUAGUGAAUGCAAUAAUUUUUCUGUAUAUGAAAAUUAGAAAUAUGUUAUAACAAGGUGUGCAGGAUAUUUUACUAUUGAAAUAUUAGGUAGAUGCAGUAUGAACAAUGUUCUUUAGUUCAGUAUAAAAAGGUGGCAGAUGCAUAUCAACAGCUCAAAUUUUGAUGUUUCGUUUGUGAUUACAGGCUAACCCAGAGAGGAACGUGGUUGUUGCUGCUGCUUGAGGACUCCACUGAAAAAUAGAAGAGAAGAUGAAGAGAAGAGAAGAGAAAGGCCUGCAGAUCUUGAUGGAGAUCAUAAAAAUUUGUCUGCACACUGGUAACUUCUACCUAUUUUUCUGUAUAAGGGUAUAUGGUUUUUAAUAUUAGGUAGAGAUUCUGAUACUUUCUAAUUGCGGAACAUAUCACUGCGUAGAAUCAUCAGAAGUGAUUUUUAUUUUGAUGUUUCGGUUAUACAGGUUGGAGAAAUCUGAAUGUUCAGGUUGGAUCAGUAACCACUUAAUAGCUGCACAAUGCGCUCCAACUAUGCUUUGGUUGAAAAGCAUCUACUAAGCCACCCUUCCAAAAUGCAUUAAGGUUGCUAUUUCUUAUAUACAAAACCUGAACUAACUGUAGUUAACUAUUUCAAUUUUCUCACAUCUAACUAUUCAGAUGUUGUGAUUAUAGGCUAACCCUAUUAUUUAUGACUUGUGAUUUGAUUUUUGUAUUGACGAUAUCUGAAUUAGUAAUACUUGCUCGAGCUUAUAAUUUAUUACUACUGGAAAUUCUGAUUCCUUUUCACCAUGUAUAUAUCCGUGUUCCCGGUUACCUCCUACUGCAGUUCUUUGUGAAACUGACGGUGAUGGAACUUAAAAAAUCACAGACUUGAUAAUUCACAAAGGUUGAGCAGUGAAUGCCGGUCAUGUGAUUUUGGCUGCUACUUACUCCCUGCCCCAUUGUGAAACUACGGACAUGGCUUAAAUAAUUAGAUUGCCUAACAUACCUCAAUUAUGUGUGCAAUUAAGUCUGCAAUGUAGCAUUUUGAAUAUCUUCAUAUUGUCUGUAGUGACCGCACUUAGUCUUCGCCAGCUGCUGGCUUCAAUUUCUCCUAAAUCUGUAUGUUCUUAUAUAAAGAUUAAUGAACCUGCUCAUGUGAUAGCUCACGUGUGAAGGGAAGUGUCCGUCUAGCUGUGGCUGCUUCAGUUGCCUAUGAUUAUUUGAACUUCAUUGAUGUUGAUUAAUAUUUGAUCUUUACCAAUUUUGAUCAUUUUAUAGAAGGCCAGUCUGCUUGUGCUAUAAAUGAUUGAUCUAUUAAAUAUUUUAUGUGCCUGAUCGUCUGCCGUGAAACUGAAAUAUACACUGCUUGAUUUUCGUUGUACAUUUCACUCUCGCAACCUUCUUAUCUACAUGAGCAUUUCAACUGAUGUACUACAUACAUUUAUAAUUUGUCGGUAAAUAAAUUCUGAGAAUGAGAAAUGGUUUCGCAUUUGUUUCUGGAGUUUGCACUUUGAUGUUUCCUUAUUUUAGUAGACUGGCACAUUUUUUUUGAACUUUUAUGUUAGCUGAUUGUAAACAUGUAUCGUGAAAAUGAUUCGGCUAUUUUUUAGGUGGCAAAAUACUAUAUUAUAAUUUUGGUGGUAAUGUUAUUGUAGUAAAACUUACCUGGAAUGUUCUUGUCCUAUGUCAUUUUUGUUGUUAGGUUAUUUGUAGAAAAUUUGACAAUUGUUUCCAAUUAUUUUCAUUCUCAAUGUAGGCAAGUCAAGUGUCAUAAUAUGGCGACGAUUUGUUCUCCCUAGCAGUGCGCACUCAUUAGUACAUCAGAUUGUUGAUAUGGCCAGCAAUGGAUUAUUAUGCUAAUAAUGUAUACGAAAUUGAUAGAGAAUGGAAUUUAUUUCGCGGUUGAUCAGUUUAGAGCUUUGCUCUCUGCAUACCUCCAUCUCAACUA